RNAcentral lists this transfer RNA (74 nucleotides) under Aphidius gifuensis. RNAcentral's name for it is "tRNA-Ile". It matches the Rfam family "tRNA". From Rfam's summary of the family: Transfer RNA (tRNA) molecules are approximately 80 nucleotides in length. Their secondary structure includes four short double-helical elements and three loops (D, anti-codon, and T loops). Lineage: Eukaryota; Metazoa; Arthropoda; Insecta; Hymenoptera; Braconidae. The record is from Rfam by way of RNAcentral.
GGCCCAUUAGCUCAGUUGGUUAGAGCGCCGUGCUAAUAACGCGGAUGUCGCGGGUUCGAUCCCCUCAUGAGCCA